Molecule: long non-coding RNA, 201 nt
Filed under: Carica papaya (papaya)
Lineage: Eukaryota; Viridiplantae; Streptophyta; Magnoliopsida; Brassicales; Caricaceae
Description: long non-coding RNA (CPAP_LNC009500)
Source: RNAcentral
CACGCAUGUUCCAUGUUUUGUAUAUCUGAAUGUAUAUUUAAUCUUAAGUUUGUGAUGAAACUUAAAAUUAGGUAUCAUCAUUAAUUAUGAAUUUUGAUUUCUUUUGCAAUUAUAAACAUUAUAUCGUAAACCAAUACAUUCAAGCAUACCGACAUGCAUAUACAUAAGACAUUAUGCGUCUAACUUCAUUAGAUUUCAUAU